Molecule: ribosomal RNA, 180 nt
Filed under: Vulpes vulpes (red fox)
Lineage: Eukaryota; Metazoa; Chordata; Mammalia; Carnivora; Canidae
Description: partial small subunit ribosomal RNA
Source: RNAcentral
CUAAAUAGUUCUAUAACAAAACAAUUCGCCAGAGAACUACUAGCAACAGCUUAAAACUCAAAGGACUUGGCGGUGCUUUAUAUCCCUCUAGAGGAGCCUGUUCUAUAAUCGAUAAACCCCGAUAAACCUCACCAUCCCUUGCUAAUACAGUCUAUAUACCGCCACUUCAGCAAACAGAUG